Molecule: ribosomal RNA, 454 nt
Filed under: uncultured bacterium
Lineage: Bacteria
Description: bacterial SSU rRNA
Rfam family: Bacterial small subunit ribosomal RNA
Source: RNAcentral
UACGGAAGGCAGCAGUGGGGAAUAUUGCACAAUGGGCGCAAGCCUGAUGCAGCCAUGCCGCGUGUAUGAAGAAGGCCUUCGGGUUGUAAAGUACUUUCAGUCGUGAGGAAGGUGUUAAGGUUAAUAACCUUAGCAAUUGACGUUAGCGACAGAAGAAGCACCGGCUAACUCCGUGCCAGCAGCCGCGGUAAUACGGAGGGUGCGAGCGUUAAUCGGAAUUACUGGGCGUAAAGGGCACGCAGGCGGUUAAUUAAGUUGGAUGUGAAAUCCCCGGGCUUAACCUGGGAAUGGCAUUCAAGACUGGUUAGCUAGAGUCUUGUAGAGGGGGUAGAAUUCCAUGUGUAGCGGUGAAAUGCGUAGAGAUGUGGAGGAAUACCGGUGGCGAAGGCGGCCCCUGGGACAAAGACUGACGCUCAUGUGCGAAAGCGUGGGGAGCAAACGAGGAUUAGAUACC